UUGAAACGGAGAGAAACUUAACAACAUCACAUUAUAAUUUUAUAUUCCCUCUGAAUUUAAUUACGACUAUAAAAGUUUAUAUGGAUUUAUUUCUUUCGCCGUUAACUUAAGUAAAUCGUCAACUACACGUUUGAAGAUAUUUAAAAUUUGUUUAGUGACAAACGUGUUUCAUCAUUUAAAGCUUUUGAGUUUCAAGAUUUAACAGCAGGGAUUAAAGAAGAAUACCCCAUGGAGGCAUUCAUCCGAUGUGAUCCCCCAUUUUGAACUGUACCUAAGCUGUAUCCUACUCUGCUAUGGACCACAUCAUGCACACAUGAUAAUUUCUAGGCCAUCAAAAGUACACGCAAGGUGAUUUUCCAACAAAGAUCGAAGCAGGGGUGAAUUUAUACAGCAGCAUUUUUCAUCUGAACUACUUCGAACGUAUACCUACAAUAUCGCAGCGAACAUCAGUAAGCGAGUUGCUGAAGAUGUCGACUGAUCGAUAAACUGGUUAGAAUUGGAUCGUGUAGAUUUUACUCCUGUCAGGUCCCGUAGAACUGUGAAGUACUGAACUAUCAAUUUCCUUUAGUGGUCGCCCGCUUGGUCAAGUGGAUUUUUUCUGGACACCCGAACACUAAUGACCUCCAUCGGGAUUGCGCUAAGACCCAUGCCAACGAGAGAUAUUUGUUAAAGUCGUCAGAACUUGUUUAUCAAUCGUUGUGAAUAAAUAAAGUUUAGCUUUUCUGUUUUCUUUUCGGCAGCAAUUGGAAAAAAAUGUUUUAGGAAACAAUUGGGAUUGUUUGCGCUACAAAAUCACACAGACUUUGACUUUUUCAUUACCGGACAUAACCCGACACCAUGGGGUCACAGUUAUGUUAAUGGGUUGCUGAAGAUGUCGACUGAUCGAUAAACUGGUUAGAAUUGGAUCGUGUAGAUUUUACUCCUGUCAGGUCCCGUAGAACUGUGAAGUACUGAACUAUCAAUUUCCUUUAGUGGUCGCCCGCUUGGUCAAGUGGAUUUUUUCUGGACACCCGAACACUAAUGACCUCCAUCGGGAUUGCGCUAAGACCCAUGCCAACGAGAGAUAUUUGUUAAAGUCGUCAGAACUUGUUUAUCAAUCAUUGUGAAAUAAAUUAAGUUUAGUUUUUCUGUUUUGUUUUCGGCAAAAUUUGGAAAAAUAUGUUUUUGGGAACAAUUGGGAUUUUUAUCCAAACAAUAUUAGCAAACAAGUUUGAUGUAAUUUUAUUAUACGGACAUGUUGCACGCUAAUGUUCACACGAAUGAGUAUUCAAUGCUUUGUCUGACCC
Long non-coding RNA from Magallana angulata, 1286 nucleotides. RefSeq lists it as uncharacterized. The transcript is spliced from 6 exons. The record is from RefSeq and is a predicted model, not a curated record. Lineage: Eukaryota; Metazoa; Mollusca; Bivalvia; Ostreida; Ostreidae.